Molecule: non-coding RNA, 110 nt
Filed under: Chloroflexota bacterium
Lineage: Bacteria; Bacillati; Chloroflexota
Description: Chloroflexi bacterium SAM-I sequence
Rfam family: SAM riboswitch aptamer (S box leader)
About the family: The SAM riboswitch is found upstream of a number of genes which code for proteins involved in methionine or cysteine biosynthesis in Gram-positive bacteria. The SAM riboswitch acts at the level of transcription termination control. The predicted structure consists of a complex stem-loop region followed by a single stem loop terminator region.
Source: RNAcentral
GACUUAUCAAGAGUGGCGGAGGGACCGGCCCGAUGAAGCCACGACAACCUACCGGCGCGACGCCGGCAAGGUGCCAAGUCCGAGCAGGCCCUCCGCCUGCGAGAUAAGGG